GAUGAACGCUGGCGGCGUGCCUAAUACAUGCAAGUCGAGCGAACAGACGAGGAGCUUGCUCCUUUGACGUUAGCGGCGGACGGGUGAGUAACACGUGGAUAACCUACCUAUAAGACUGGGAUAACUUCGGGAAACCGGAGCUAAUACCGGAUAACAUGUUGAACCGCAUGGUUCAACAGUGAAAGACGGUCUUGCUGUCACUUAUAGAUGGAUCCGCGCCGCAUUAGCUAGUUGGUAAGGUAACGGCUUACCAAGGCAACGAUGCGUAGCCGACCUGAGAGGGUGAUCGGCCACACUGGAACUGAGACGCGGUCCAGACUCCUACGGGAGGCAGCAGUAGGGAAUCUUCCGCAAUGGGCGAAAGCCUGACGGAGCAACGCCGCGUGAGUGAAGAAGGUCUUCGGAUCGUAAAACUCUGUUAUUAGGGAAGAACAAAUGUGUAAGUAACUAUGCACGUCUUGACGGUACCUAAUCAGAAAGCCACGGCUAACUACGUG
Molecule: ribosomal RNA, 497 nt
Filed under: uncultured bacterium
Lineage: Bacteria
Description: partial 16S ribosomal RNA
Rfam family: Bacterial small subunit ribosomal RNA
Source: RNAcentral